This 484-nucleotide ribosomal RNA is filed under the name uncultured bacterium. RNAcentral's name for it is "partial 16S ribosomal RNA". It matches the Rfam family "Bacterial small subunit ribosomal RNA", at positions 29 to 507 of the family's 1533-position model. The record is from RNAcentral.
AUUGAACGCUGGCGGCAGGCCUAACACAUGCAAGUCGAGCGGAUGAAGGGAGCUUGCUCCUGGAUUCAGCGGCGGACGGGGGAGUAAUGCCUAGGAAUCUGCCUGGUAGUGGGGGAUAACGUCCGGAAACGGGCGCUAAUACCGCAUACGUCCUGAGGGAGAAAGUGGGGGAUCUUCGGACCUCACGCUAUCAGAUGAGCCUAGGUCGGAUUAGCUAGUUGGUGGGGUAAAGGCCUACCAAGGCGACGAUCCGUAACUGGUCUGAGAGGAGGAUCACGCACACUGGAACUGAGACAAGGUCCAGGUUCCUGCGGGAGGGACCAGUGGGGAAGAUUGGGCAGUGGGCGAAAGUGUGACCCAGCAGUUCAGCGUGUGAGAAGAAGAUCUCCGGAUUGUGAAGCACUUUCUGGUGGGAGAAAGCGCAGUAGGCUAAUACCUUGCUGGUUUGACGGUACCAACAGAAGAAGCACCGGCUAACUUCGUG